GAGACAAUAGUGUAGAGGUAACAUAGACGGUUCGGAUCCGUCUGUCCUGAGUUCAAUUCUCAGUUGUCUCG
Molecule: transfer RNA, 71 nt
Rfam family: tRNA
About the family: Transfer RNA (tRNA) molecules are approximately 80 nucleotides in length. Their secondary structure includes four short double-helical elements and three loops (D, anti-codon, and T loops).
Source: Rfam